This 489-nucleotide ribosomal RNA is filed under the name uncultured bacterium. RNAcentral describes it as "partial 16S ribosomal RNA". It matches the Rfam family "Bacterial small subunit ribosomal RNA", at positions 30 to 507 of the family's 1533-position model. The record is from RNAcentral.
UUGAACGCUGGCGGCAGGCCUAACACAUGCAAGUCGAACGGUAACAGGAAGCAGCUUGCUGCUUCGCUGACGAGUGGCGGACGGGUGAGUAAUGUCUGGGAAGCUGCCUGAUGGAGGGGGAUAACUACUGGAAACGGUAGCUAAUACCGCAUAAUGUCGCAAGACCAAAGAGGGGGACCUUCGGGCCUCUUGCCAUCGGAUGUGCCCAGAUGGGAUUAGCUUGUUGGUGGGGUAACGGCUCACCAAGGCGACGAUCCCUAGCUGGUCUGAGAGGAUGACCAGCCACACUGGAACUGAGACACGGUCCAGACUCCUACGGGAGGCAUCAGUGGGGAAUAUUGCACAAUGGGCGCAAGCCUGAUGCAGCCAUGCCGCGUGUAUGAAGAAGGCCUUCGGGUUGUAAAGUACUUUCAGCGGGGAGGAAGGGAGUAAAGUUAAUACCUUUGCUCGUUGACGUUACCCGCAGAAGAAGCACCGGCUAACUCCGUG